AAUAAGAAACAAUAAUUGUAUUUAGUUUCGACCUAAAAUUUUGAUCCAUAAAAUGAUCCUUAUUU
This 65-nucleotide transfer RNA is filed under the name Phyllotreta tetrastigma. Its description in RNAcentral is "tRNA-Arg". The record is from RNAcentral. Lineage: Eukaryota; Metazoa; Arthropoda; Insecta; Coleoptera; Chrysomelidae.